GGCAGGUAUGUUGAGAGUGGAGGCAGGGAUGUUGAGAGUGGAAGCAGGGACGUUGAGAGUGGAGGCAGGGACGUUGAGAGUGGAGGCAGGUACGUUCAGAGUGGAGGCAGGGACGUUGAGAGUGGAGGCAGGGACGUUGAGAGUGGAGGCAGGGA
Molecule: long non-coding RNA, 155 nt
Organism: Oncorhynchus keta (chum salmon)
Lineage: Eukaryota; Metazoa; Chordata; Actinopteri; Salmoniformes; Salmonidae
Exons: 3
Source: RefSeq, a predicted model, not a curated record